RNAcentral lists this ribosomal RNA (240 nucleotides) under uncultured fungus. RNAcentral's name for it is "partial 26S ribosomal RNA". It matches the Rfam family "Eukaryotic large subunit ribosomal RNA", at positions 38 to 281 of the family's 3401-position model. The record is from RNAcentral. Lineage: Eukaryota; Fungi.
GCAUAUCAAUAAGCGGAGGAAAAGAAACCAACAGGGAUUGCCCUAGUAACGGCGAGUGAAGCGGCAACAGCUCAAAUUUGAAAUCUGGCUCUCGGGCCCGAGUUGUAAUUUGUAGAGGAAGCUUCUGGUGCGGUACCGUCCGAGUCCCCUGGAACGGGGCGCCAUAGAGGGUGAGAGCCCCGUAUGGACGGAUGCCAAACCUGUGUGAAGCUCCUUCGACGAGUCGAGUUGUUUGGGAAU